GACAGAGGGUGCAAACGUUGUUCGGAAUUACUGGGCGUAAAGCGCGUGUAGGCUGCUCUGCAAGUCGGGUGUGAAAGCCCUGGGCUCAACCUAGGAAGUGCACUCGAAACUGCAGAGCUGGAGUCCUGGAGAGGAAGGCGGAAUUCUCGGUGUAGAGGUGAAAUUCGUAGAUAUCGAGAGGAACACCGGUGGCGAAGGCGGCCUUCUGGACAGUGACUGACGCUGAGACGCGAAAGCGUGGGGAGCGAACAGG
RNAcentral lists this ribosomal RNA (253 nucleotides) under uncultured bacterium. Its description in RNAcentral is "partial 16S ribosomal RNA". It matches the Rfam family "Bacterial small subunit ribosomal RNA", at positions 524 to 776 of the family's 1533-position model. The record is from RNAcentral.